Molecule: long non-coding RNA, 3623 nt
Filed under: Panax ginseng (ginseng)
Lineage: Eukaryota; Viridiplantae; Streptophyta; Magnoliopsida; Apiales; Araliaceae
Description: long non-coding RNA (PGIN_LNC006112)
Source: RNAcentral
UUCUAGAUGGUAUGUUAUUCACUCUCUCUCGUGUCUAAGUAAAAAUGAUUUAAUAGUUUCUGCAUAAAAAAUGUAUGGAGAUUAGGGUAGAAAAAUUAUCGUCACCAUUUUAAUAUAUGGCAUUAUGCAUUGAUACUGUUAGAGAAGAUCUUCUACUGCCAAGUUUCAUUCUCCUUGUUGGCACAGUUAUCAUCAGUUAAAGACAUGAUCCUUUAUUCACCUUUCUAGUGAUUAUUAUACCAACAGAAUACCUCAUGGCCAAUUCUUUCCUCAAUCUGGUUGUGAGCCCAUGACAUAGUGUUGCCCCUAGAACCAAAAUGCCUCUAGAGCAAGGUUCCAUGUAUAGCCUGCAAAAAUUUGUACAUAUCCUCAAUAAUAAAUUUACAAAAUUAUUCAAAACUGAUCCUGACUUUUUUAAGCACUAAAAUUUACUAAACUACUGAAUCAAAACAAAGUAUCGAGUGUUCUUGUAACCCAAUGAAAAAGUAGCAGACCCUAGAUGCUGCAGCUCACAUGCGUAUAAGUAAAUAGGUGAGAAACUCAAUAUAGCUCAGUUCACACAGUACGCCAUUAGGUGGAUAAUACGCAAAUAGUUAGAUAUUUUUAGAGAGAGUGAAAUCCUCCAGCAAUGAAAAGAAUAGAGAAACGAGUUACUAAGUCAAGGUGCACAUAACAGGAUAGUUUCUGAUAGACAAACUAUCACUAAACUAUGCUUCCUGCAAUUUACACAAGUAUCAUUGUUUUAUCUUUCGUUUUAGCAUUUUUUUUACCUCCAAUACCGCACUUUCUUAUAUUAAUCCACUAGCAUGCUUAUCCUAUCUGAUGCCUUAAAGAAUCAUUUCAAAAGAGUUGUUCAGUUCUUCAUAUUAUCUGUUGAAUAGAAACUAAAGAUAAAGAAUGUACAUGACAUACAAGGGUGGAAGCUUUAUUUAUGUUAGCUGUAAUGCAUAUGAUCAUUCUUAGCUCCUUAUUCUUUUUAUCAAGAGCAGUAGCAUAGUACAAGUCUACUGGUGAACUGACAAGACAUAGUAAUGUGAGUUCAAUAGCCAAACCAUUCAUCAGUUCAAACCUUAUAUGUGUGAGGUUUUUAUUUUUUAUUUUUUUAUUUUAUUUUUUUAUUUGUUGGGGGGAGGUGGGGGGUGGAGGUGUGUGGGGUUGUCUUUAUAACACAAUGUUAUUAUGUUAUGAAUAUUAAACAACUAAUAGAAGAGAGAAACAUGUACAUGAAACAACGUUUUUCGACUGCCUCAUCAGAUGAAGUUUGUUUUGGUGCGACAGGAAAUCCGGAAGGGUUAGGUGCCGAUCUUUUGGAAACUUUGAUGAAGAUGGCUCCAACAAAGGAGGAAGAGAUAAAACUUAGAGACUACAGAGGUGACAAGCCAAAACUAGGGUCUGCAGAGCGUUUUCUCAAGGCAAUUCUUGAUGUACCAUUUGCCUUUAAAAGAGUGGAAGUCAUGCUAUACAGAGCAAACUUUGACACAGAAGUAAAAUACUUGAGGAAUUCCUUCCAAACCCUAGAGGUAUCCUAUAGCCUCUUAACUCCAUUUGAUGAAAUGUUUCAUGCAUAUGAAUUAAUUUGUGCGUCGCUAUAACUUGAUAUCAUAAUACCUCAGAAGAAUUUGGAUGCUAUCAAAGUGAGUUAGUAUCUGAGCUAAUUCAAAUAUAUGAUCCUUAAAUGUCAAAAUCUCUUUAUUUUAUUGACACACAUAUUUGCAAGCUUGCUCAUUACAAAAACAUUGAUCAGGCAGCAAAUGAAGAAUUGAAGAACAGUCGGCAUUUCCUCAAACUGCUUGAAGCUGUUCUGAGGACAGGAAACCGCAUGAAUGUUGGCACCAAUCGUGGCAAUGCUAGAGCUUUUAAACUUGAUACAUUGUUGAAAUUAGUAGAUAUAAAGGGAACGGAUGGGAAGACCACCUUGCUCCACUUUGUGGUCCAAGAGAUCAUCAGGUCCGAAGGCACAGAUUCUGACCCUACUACUGAAAUUCUUCCGAAUAAAAUGAGUUUCAGGGUAAAGGAAGAGGAUUUCAAGAAGCAAGGAUUACAGGUUGUUGCAGGAUUGGGUAGAGAACUGGGCAAUGUCAAGAAAGCAGCAGGAAUGGACGCAGAUGUCUUGAGCAGUUACGUUUCAAAGCUUGAAAUGGGGCUUGAGAAAGUCAGAUUGGUUUUGCAAUAUGAAAAACCAAACAUGCGGGGAAAGUUCCUUGAGUCUUUGAAAAUGUUUCUUAGAGAGGCGGGAGAGGAAAUUAUUAGAAUUAAGUCAGAUGAAAGAAAGGUCUUAUCCCUAGUGAAAGAAGUUACAGCGUAUUUUCAUGGUGACACUGUGAAAGAAGAAGCCCAUCCUUUCAGAAUCUUCAUGAUUGUCAGGGAUUUUCUCAGUAUAUUGGAUAAUGUGUGCAAGGAAGUGGGGAGGAUGCAGGACAAAAUAAUGGUGGGUUCUGCAAGAUCAUUCAGGAUACCUGCAACAACAUCACUACCAGUCCUAAACAGAUUCAGUGUGCGUCAAGACAGAAGUUCAGAUGAAGAAAGCUCAUCACCAUGAAAAAAUGUGCUAUGAUGCACUGGAGUCUCAUCAGAGAACAAUCACAGGCUCGGUGCAUUUGCUGCAAGUAUGUUAAAGGAGUAGUCUGAUUGUACAGAAGGAGCUUGUGAUAAUCAAGAGGAUUAAAGACGCAAGUAUAAAAAUAAGACUCGCAUCAAAAUUUUGGUUUCAUCCAUUAGAAGAAGUUAACGUGGAAAGGGAACUGAGAAGAGUUUGAGAAUUAAGGUCAGAUAGCAAAUAAAUAAAGAAUAGGGUGAGGAAAGCAAUUCGAAGUUACUUCCAGAAAUGAGAAUAUAAUCUGGAACGAUGGGUUGCCAAAUGAUGGUUAAGAUAAGUUAUGUUUUAGAAAUAUCAUCUAUACAAAUCCAUAGUUAAGGUAGCAUUCUCAUUUACACACAUCUUCCGGAGAACAUAGAAAGUUUUGAUUCCAGGCCUCGUGUUAUACCUUGAAUUUUGUGUUUUAAAUUAUCUUAUUCAGUUUAAGGAAAUUCUUUUUCUUUUAUCAUGUAAAUCUGUUUUCAGCCUUUUUUGCUGCUGCUGUUUUGAGAAAGAUUUCACACGAUCCAAUACAUUGAGCCAACAAUGAAAAUAUAAUGCUUUUAAGUAUAUUUACUUUUUUAAAAAGGUAAAUUUUGGGGAUUGAAAUCAGGACCUCAAGCUUAAGCAUAUUCAAAAGUUACCCAGAUAGAUUGACACACAGAACUCCACAUGCAUGCAGUUUAUGAACACCAAGUGACUGUAAAAAUGCCGCCAUCACGAAUGAAUUUACAAGCGGGUGUAUCAAGAUUUAUAAUUACGUAACUAAAUCAGCUCUUUGAAGUGAAAAUCUUAGUGAGCUCUGGCUCAUGAUUUAGAUCAGGUGCAACAGUUGCGAUAAGAAAUUUUUAGCAAGCACUUUAGGCGAAUUAAAGAAAAUGGGGAGAAAUUUCACAAAGGAAUAAAGAUGAAAAAUAACUCACUUCUGAUGCGAAUAAGCGAUAUCCGCUUCCCGCCUGACCAUUAUCAACCGGAAGAGCAGAUAGGGUGUGACUAUUGGAAUUAAUGAAUCCUCUCCCAGAAAUAUUGUAUUCGAAAAGCAAGACAG